This is a long non-coding RNA of Esox lucius (northern pike), 2614 nucleotides long. Lineage: Eukaryota; Metazoa; Chordata; Actinopteri; Esociformes; Esocidae. The record is from Ensembl.
GACAUCUUAGCUCCAAUCCAAUCAACUUUUAUUCCUUUGGAAGCGUACAGAGUUGGCAGGCCUUUUGAGCCAGUUGUACAGUUAUACCACUGACCUUCCAAUUACAGGCAGGGGCUGAUGGUCCACUCUACUACAGCAAUUCAGUCAGACUACAUCAGUCAUUCAUUUCAUUUCACUCAUCAGAUAGUUUUGUACUGUCAGAAUAAAUAGUCUGGUUAACAAUAACAAAGACAACUUCAGAAAGGUACAAAACAGCUAUAGAGCACUGAAUAUACUGUAUGUUUACAAUUGUAAGCAUAGAAGACUUCACUUAAUAUAAGUUACUGUAGUUUUGUUAUGUCCCGAAGCCCAGUUUACAGUAAAUAUGUAGUGUAGUGUGACCUUUGAUUCUAUUCGAAGGCAUGUCAUGAUGUAAUGACAGAAGAGUAAGGUGCCUAGUACUUGGUUUGGUCUGUGGUACACUGUGUCUGUGUGGGGGGUGGGGGCGGGCAAGGACGAAGGAUGAGUACCCCGCUGGCCCCAUAUAAGAACACAAACACAUGGGUGCAUGACAUCCCACCCGGCGUACAGACACAGCCCAUGUGACCGGCUGGCUCAGAGACAGCUGUGACUGUCUAACUGUGGCCCAGGUCAGAUCCUGGCCCGGAUCACAUGCUGCUUAACCCACGUCCAUGUCAGACCGCUAAUCAGUGACCAAUGUAAACGGACCUCUCAAAGCUAUCUUGGACGAGGCACCGUACCCCGUCUUGUGGAUUGAAAAGAGAUAGAGAGAGUGUGUGUGUGUUUCUGUGUAUGUGUGUGUGUGUGUGUGUGUGUGUGUGUUGGAGGGAAAGCGCUUCAGUGGCAGUGGACACUGACAGAAGUGGUCAUUCCUUGACAUUCCUGCUGGGUUAUGGUGGGGACAUGUAUUACGGUUGGGGCAGGUAUCCUGCUGAGUUAUGGUGGGGACCUGUAUUACGGUUGGGGCAGGUAUCCUGCUGGGUUAUGGUGGGGAUCUGUAUUACGGUUGGGGCAGGUAUCCUGCUGGGUUAUGGUGGGGACCUGUAUUACGGUUGGGGCAGGUAUCCUGCUGAGUUAUGGUGGGGAUCUGUAUUACGGUUGGGGCAGGUAUCCUGCUGGGUUAUGGUGGGGACCUGUAUUACGGUUGGGGCAGGUAUCCUGCUGGGUUAUGGUGGGGACCUGCAUUACGGUUGGGGCAGGUAUCCUGCUGGGUUAUGGUGGGGACCUGCAUUACGGUUGGGGCAGGUAUCCUGCUGGGUUAUGGUGGGGACCUGCAUUACAGUUGGGGCAGGUAUCCUGCUGGGUUAUGGUGGGGACCUGUAUUACGGUUGGGGCAGGUAUCCUGUUGCAGCAGCCCACCCUACUUCUGCCCUUUCCAGAGCACCUCCUCCCAGCAAACCUGUUGCCUAACCAGAGUCCCCCAGACUGGACUGAACGUGCACUUCUUGUACUGUCCCGCCUGUUCUGUAUGGACAUGCAGAUAUGGUACUGUAGCCACACACUGGGGCUGUUCGACAGUACGUAUCAGACGACAGCAAUUUAUCAUUGCAUUAAGACAUCUAAGCGCAGCUUACAUAAAUUCCUGAGUGUCCCAUUUGAGGGAAAUAGCCUUAUUCACCCGAACCCGCCAUCAUGUCUCUUUGCCUGGUGUAGACUACAGACAGCACCAUAGACAGUACAACGUUCAGCUAAGUGGAGUAACAUCAUUGCUUUGAUCCAGUAGUAAUGACAUGAAUGCUGUCCUUUUAAGAAUGUAGUGCAUUAUUUUGGGGUCACCUUGGACUCCAGUCUAUCGGUGUAAUCUGGUUUGUCUGAUACUGGCCCUCUACCUCCUCCACCAUCUCUCCAGCUGACAUAUCUAUUGGUCCUUUGACAGCCCCUCAGACCCACUGUAAUCUAGUCACAGGCUUCUCCUUCAGUCAGCUGUUGUUGCUGGGAUGAAUGGCGACUCGCCUUUACAAAGUGUAUAGGAGUUAAGUGUGUCUCAAUGUCAAAGUGCAGCUGGAAAACUGGAUAGAAGGGGGGAUGAGUGUUGAUUCAUGUGGUCUAAAUAACAUGCAGCUUUAAGAGGCUGGUGCUGACAUUGUUGCAUCGAGAAUGAUGGAUGGUCAGUAGUAUUCUUAGGCACUGGAUAAAAUCAAAGCAACUGUUCAUCAUAAUCAAACAAAUUCUCAAAAUAGGUGUUAUAUUAUUGCUGUAGAAUUGUUAUAUAAUUCAGUAUGUACCAUAAGGCUUUUGGUGCAGUCAGUGUUUGCUGAGAGAGACAGUGAGUAUAUUUAUAGAAGGUUGGAAAGCAGGGCCUAUCUACUUGUCAGUGCUUUUAAAAUUGUGCAUCUUUUUAAAUUGUUGCUGUAUUUAUUUUUUAUUGGAGUUAGAUGGUACCGUAUGGAUGGUGUAUUUUUAUUUCCCUAUGUUUGUUUUUUGUGUUUUAAAUUAGGUUUUGUUUGUGAUGCCUGUUUUGGCCAGUACACUCCUGAAAUAGAUUUGUAAUCUUUCCUGGAUAAAGGUUAAAUAAAAAUAAAUCCCAGCUUCAUUGUUUACCUGGCCCCACUAUCAAUGAUCCCAUUCAGUGUUUACCUGGCCCCUCUAUCAAUGAUCCCAUUCAGGGUUUUAC